AUGUCGACUUGGAGGUUGUUCCCUUGAGGAGUGGCUUCCGGAGCUAACGCGUUAAGUCGACCGCCUGGGGAGUACGGCCGCAAGGUUAAAACUCAAAUGAAUUGACGGGGGCCCGCACAAGCGGUGGAGCAUGUGGUUUAAUUCGAUGCAACGCGAAGAACCUUACCUACUCUUGACAUCCACAGAAUUCGGCAGAGAUGCCUUAGUGCCUUCGGGAACUGUGAGACAGGUGCUGCAUGGCUGUCGUCAG
This 250-nucleotide ribosomal RNA is filed under the name uncultured bacterium. RNAcentral's name for it is "partial 16S ribosomal RNA". It matches the Rfam family "Bacterial small subunit ribosomal RNA", at positions 809 to 1058 of the family's 1533-position model. The record is from RNAcentral.